This is an RNA transcript of Ipomoea triloba (trilobed morning glory), 1462 nucleotides long. It is a transcript of the gene named E3 ubiquitin-protein ligase makorin-like, with no coding region annotated. The record is from RefSeq and is a predicted model, not a curated record. The transcript is spliced from 8 exons. Lineage: Eukaryota; Viridiplantae; Streptophyta; Magnoliopsida; Solanales; Convolvulaceae.
AAAGCUCCAACGCUUGCUCGCCUCUCGCCUCCUCGUGGGCGCGAUGCAGCGGGGAUUUCGCUUUUUCUCUGCUCCUUUCUGCUCAAGAACUUCAAUUCCAUCUGCAUUGGUGGGAUUCUUCCGAUUGUUUACUCAACAUCGUAGCCAUGUCGAAAAGGGUUCUUUGCAAGUUUUUUGCUCGUCGGACCUGUCUGAAAGGGGAACAUUGUGAGUUUUCGCAUGAUUGGCAAGACCCUCCAAAUAAUAUAUGCACCUUCUAUCAGAAGGGAAUUUGUGUAUAUGGGAGCAGGUGCAGAUAUGAACAUGUUAGAAUUUCGCAGUUGCAGUCUUCUGCACCAUCUUCUUCGGUGCUUGCUCGCCAACAUUUGCUGUCGAGCUCUGAUCCUACACCUGCAAAUUAUGAAACUGUAGUGGGUGGUGUAGGUCUCGGGACAGGGACAACCACAGAACAUUUGAAUUGUAGCAAACGUGAUCACUAUCCCAAAAAACCGGGAUGGAAUCAGAAGAUAGGGCCUCAAGAUUCACGGGAUGAUGAAAAAAAUGUGAAGCUAAAGAGUCAAAAUGCAGCCGAUCAAUCAAUCUGCUCUUUUGCAGCUGCUGGUAAUUGUCCACGAGGGGAAAAAUGUCCUCACAUUCACGGGGAUUUAUGCUCCUCUUGUGGGAAGCAUUGCUUGCAUCCUUUCAGGCCUCAGGAGAGAGAGGAGCAUAUAAAAAAAUGUGAGAAACUGCAAAAGCACCUCGAAGCAUUAAAACAUAGUCAAGAAAUAGACUGCAGCGUUUGCCUUGAACGUGUUCUCUCGAAACCAACAGCAGCUGAACGCAAAUUCGGAAUAUUGUCGGAGUGUGAUCAUCCUUUUUGCAUUUCCUGCAUCAGGAAUUGGCGUAGUAGUUCUCCAUCGUCAGGAUUUGAUGUAAAUUCUGCAUUGAGAGCCUGCCCCAUAUGCCGAAAGCUUUCAUAUUUUGUCAUUCCUAGUGUGAUUUGGUACUCCACAAAAGAAGAAAAACAAGAAAUUAUUGCCAGCUAUAAAACAAAACUCAGAUCUAUUGAUUGCAAGCACUUCGACUUUGGGAGCGGGACUUGCCCAUUUGGGAGUAGUUGUUUCUAUAAGCACGCAUACCGUGAUGGUCGUUUGGAGGAAGUGGUUCUACGCCAACUUGGUUAUGAUGAUGGAACUACAAUCAUUGUAAAAAAUAUUAGGCUCUCAGAUUUGCUUAGCAAUUUGCAAAUGAGGUGAAGAAACAUAGUCAACGCUCUUGUGGUUUCAGAUACAUGUCUCAAACGGCUAAAUUGUACCAUAUAGGAAUUAGACGUUACUGGGAUUUGUAAGUAAAAUGCUGUGUGCAGAACGGGCUUCGGUUAUCUGGAUUCAAGGUGCAGACACUGUGCUAAACAUGUGGUAAUCCUUCAAGAAUCCUAAACAAACUGUGUGAGUGUGGCCAUACAGAGAAAUGUAAAUCAAAA